CUCCCUUACUGUCACUCUUCAGCCACAGGGUUUUAACCAAAUGGUAUUGUUUUCAAUAACAGAAACAGAGUUUUUAGGACAGAAGAGGAAAUCCUUCAGUGAAGGCAAAGUUUGAAAGGCCAAGAUGCUGCUACUCUGCUUCUGUGUCAGAAGGAAAGACUUCAGUAGAAAAACAGUCGGUUACAUUUAUCUUUGGUGCAGCUCUCAGAUCCUAAGUGCUGAUGCCCUGGAGAGCACUCUGAUGUCAGAAAGGUGCUUUCAGACUCUAAAUCAGGAUGCUGAAUUUGAAAAGAAGCAUGAGAAAGCAAAGAGACUAUUGAGAGGGACCAAGUGGUUUCAUAGCAUCAUUGAAAUUUAUAGUUUGGAAAAGACCUUAGGAUCAUCAAGUCCAGCUGUUAACCCAGCACUUCCAAGUCCAGCACUAAAUCGAGUGCCAUAAGAGUGGCUAAGAGCAGGGCACACACAGCAGCUGAUACUUGAGAAGCAGCAAGUUCACCCCAGAGCUCUGUCUGGGCAGCUUUGUUAGUCGUGGUGGGUGUGGAUCUUAGAGAAGCCACGGCUUCUGCUAGGUGGAUGCUGUCACUCCCUGGCUGAACCAGCAGGGCUUCAGCACCCUUCCUGCAUGCUCUUCCACAAGAACUGCUACCCAGACUGGCACGUCACUCCCUGUUUGCCUGCUCUGCUUGUGGAACUCCUGGUUGGUGGUGCUCCACUGCACUAGGUGGUACACAAAUAUAAGAGAUGAUCCUUGACCUUGAAUUGUUGCAGUAUGAAUAGACAAGAAAAAAGGACUGCAGAAAGGAAGGGCUGUUGAGCAUGUUUUACAGGCAAAAAGCUGAGAUACAGGGAGAUAAUACUUCACGAUACAGAACUGCAAGUGCACUUAAAGAAGUAUUCCUGACCUUUCUCAUUCCAGAAAAUAUGUCCUCAGUCUGCCAAUAGCCCAUGUAACUGAAAUUAAAAGAAUCAGUAUUUUCCAGGUUUUGAGACUGAGGUAAUUUCACAAGUAUCCUGGGAACAGAGGUAGGAGUGACCACUAAGUAUAAUGCUCUGGCAGUCUGCAAAAGGCAAAGAAAAGAAGUAAUCUCCUUCAAGGAGAAUGGGCCUUUUUUUUUUGUCUCCUAAAAUCACCCCCUGUAAUAGCUGUUACCAGCCUAUCUUUUUGUUCUUUGAGGUAUUCUGCAAUAACAAUCUCCAGUGCUAUCUAAAGAUUUGAUUGGUAUGCAGAAAACCAGCAUAUGUCAAGUUAGAAGCAAGACACGUAGGACAUUUAGUUUCCCAAAAGAUUAUUGAUUAAUAUUCCUCAAAUACCUUAUUCUAUGCAUUUAAUGAUAUUUUUUCCAUGCAUUAUUCAUUUUUCACUAUUUUCACAUCUUAUAGAAGAAUUUUCCUGAAAAGUUUAAAUAAAAUAUUCGCAAUUUAGUUCA
Molecule: long non-coding RNA, 1427 nt
Filed under: Chloebia gouldiae (Gouldian finch)
Lineage: Eukaryota; Metazoa; Chordata; Aves; Passeriformes; Passeridae
Description: Erythrura gouldiae (Gouldian finch) lncRNA (ENSEGOG00005001776.1)
Source: RNAcentral